Molecule: ribosomal RNA, 376 nt
Filed under: uncultured Gammaproteobacteria bacterium
Lineage: Bacteria; Pseudomonadati; Pseudomonadota; Gammaproteobacteria
Description: bacterial SSU rRNA
Rfam family: Bacterial small subunit ribosomal RNA
Source: RNAcentral
UAAUACGGAGGGUGCAAGCGUUAAUCGGAAUUACUGGGCGUAAAGCGCGCGUAGGCGGUUUGUUAAGUCAGCUGUGAAAGCCCCGGGCUCAACCUGGGAACUGCAGUUGAUACUGGCCGACUUGAGUACGAGAGAGGGAGGUAGAAUUCCAUGUGUAGCGGUGAAAUGCGUAGAUAUAUGGAGGAAUACCAGUGGCGAAGGCGGCCUCCUGGCUCGAUACUGACGCUGAGGCGCGAAAGCGUGGGGAGCAAACAGGAUUAGAUACCCUGGUAGUCCACGCCGUAAACGAUGUCUACUAGCCGUUGGGAGACUUGAUUUCUUAGUGGCGCAGCUAACGCAAUAAGUAGACCGCCUGGGGAGUACGGCCGCAAGGUUA